UGACGCGCUCAGGAGACGGAGAUGUUUGGAGGAAACGCCGAAGGUCUGCAGACACCCGGAAGGAGCGUCAUCAAGUUGCUGUCUCUGGAGAUUUUGAGAAGCAUCAAAGUCCUUCAGUAUGAGCUCAAAGAGGCAGCAGGAAAAUCCAGAUUCUCCGUAGAAAAACGCCAUUUUAGCUGGAAAGUUCUCCAGUUUCCAUGGAUUCAUUCAAUGGACGGAUGUUGA
RNAcentral lists this long non-coding RNA (225 nucleotides) under Oryzias javanicus (javanese ricefish). Its description in RNAcentral is "lncRNA (ENSOJAG00000005514.1)". Lineage: Eukaryota; Metazoa; Chordata; Actinopteri; Beloniformes; Adrianichthyidae. The record is from RNAcentral.